CUGCUACUAAGGUUUCCUUAACAAGCAAAAAAGGAUUCUCAGGCUUUCCAUCUGUCUCAUUGUGGCAGUAAUGAUUGAGUAGAGGAAUAUAGGA
RNAcentral lists this small nucleolar RNA (94 nucleotides) under Chinchilla lanigera (long-tailed chinchilla). Its description in RNAcentral is "Small nucleolar RNA SNORA31 (ENSCLAG00000019850.1)". The record is from RNAcentral. Lineage: Eukaryota; Metazoa; Chordata; Mammalia; Rodentia; Chinchillidae.